UAAUACGUAGGGUCCGAGCGUUAAUCGGAAUUACUGGGCGUAAAGCGUGCGCAGGCGGUCUCGCAAGUCCGAUGUGAAAUCCCCGGGCUCAACCUGGGAACUGCGUUGGAAACUAUGAGGCUCGAGUGCGGCAGAGGGGGGUGGAAUUCCACGUGUAGCAGUGAAAUGCGUAGAGAUGUGGAGGAACACCGAUGGCGAAGGCAGCCCCCUGGGCCAGCACUGACGCUCAUGCACAAAAGCGUGGGGAGCAAACAGGAUUAGAUACCCUGGUAGUCCACGCCCUAAACGAUGGCAACUAGUUGUUGGGGGAUGAACUCCCUUAGUAACGCAGCUAACGCGUGAAGUUGCCCGCCUGGGGAGUACGGUCGCAAGAUUA
RNAcentral lists this ribosomal RNA (376 nucleotides) under uncultured bacterium. RNAcentral's name for it is "bacterial SSU rRNA". It matches the Rfam family "Bacterial small subunit ribosomal RNA", at positions 521 to 896 of the family's 1533-position model. The record is from RNAcentral.